UUGGGGGCUGAGCACCACGGCUCUGCAAGACGCAGGUCAGAAUCUGACCUCUGGCUGGGCUGGGCAGAGCAGAGGGUUGCUACUUCCUUCUUUCCCCAUCUCCAGUCCUAGACACCUGUAGAUCUCUUUCCUCCCACACAGUUAGAUGUCUGCCUUGCAUGGUACUGGCGAUAGCUCACCAGUUCGGCUAGAGGCCAGACUUUGGACUCCAGUUUACUCGUCAACAUUACUGCACAAACUGCAUCCCAUGUUUAGAAAAACGUCAAAGGAAGGCUUCCGUCCUCACCAGUACCCGGGAAAAGCAGCUCCCUUACAGUGCAGGCAUUGAAGGUAUCCUUGGAAAGCCUCAGCCUUCACCAUUUCACAAAGGUUUCAUUUUACAAAGGUUUAACUGUCUCCGAGGAGGACUCCCACGUCCCCUACUGAGACGUGUCAUGGGGCCCGAAGAAUAAUGCUCCCUUUCUCAGUGAGCCGAGACACACCUGAGACAUGAAUAAACCAGUCCCAAUAAAAUCCUGCUUGGGCUGGUGGCCAGCAGAUGCCUCUGGACCCAUUUUUCAGACACAGAAGACAAGACAGUGACUUGGCUUACACCAGCUAACAGACCUGACGUACUGGAGGGGGAGGAACCUUCCUUCCAGGCCCUCACCUGCUGUCACCAUUUGGACUGGGGCAGAAAGCUGGAGCACACCACCAGGAAAAGGAAGCCACAGAUGGAGCGGGGCAGCUGCAGUAACUGCCGACUUGCUUUGAUGCUGUGCAGGGCCCUAUUGACCCAUGGGCAAGUUAUUGGCACUUUGGUCUCCUAAUCGCUAAAUAAUAGG
Long non-coding RNA from Cebus imitator (Panamanian white-faced capuchin), 824 nucleotides. RefSeq lists it as uncharacterized. Lineage: Eukaryota; Metazoa; Chordata; Mammalia; Primates; Cebidae. The transcript has 3 exons. The record is from RefSeq and is a predicted model, not a curated record.